GCGGAAGUGGCGGAAUGGCAUACGCGUAAGUUUCAGGAACUUAUGCCGCAAGGCUUGAGGGUUCAACUCCCUCCUUCCGCA
Molecule: transfer RNA, 81 nt
Filed under: Candidatus Omnitrophota bacterium
Lineage: Bacteria; Pseudomonadati; Candidatus Omnitrophota
Description: Candidatus Omnitrophica bacterium tRNA-Leu
Rfam family: tRNA
About the family: Transfer RNA (tRNA) molecules are approximately 80 nucleotides in length.
Source: RNAcentral